UGGCGGCCAUAGCGCAACGGCCCCACCUGAUCCCAUGCCGAACUCAGAAGUGAAACGUUGUAGCGCCGAUGGUAGUGUGGGGUCUCCCCAUGUGAGAGUAGGGAACUGCCAGGCA
RNAcentral lists this ribosomal RNA (115 nucleotides) under Proteus vulgaris. The record is from RNAcentral. Lineage: Bacteria; Pseudomonadati; Pseudomonadota; Gammaproteobacteria; Enterobacterales; Morganellaceae.